AAGGGAGACCUAAUUCAGGUAGGAGACGAAAAAAAAGUAGUCCCAACCAAGAAUCAAUCCCAAAAGGUCGGAGCGAGGCGAAAUUGGCUUUCAAACUAGGUUCUGGGUUCACACAAGACCUGAAUCAGGAACAAGGGCUAUUAGCUCAGGUGGUUAGAGCGCACCCCUGAUAAGGGUGAGGUCCCUGGUUCGAGUCCAGGAUGGCCCACCUGCACAGGUGGCAAAAACAAGAGAAGCGAGGAAUCAGCACCUUAUCUUAUCUAUAUAUAUAUAGGAGAGAAUGCUGGCUCUGAGUAAAGAGUCCAGAGGAACCUUGAAAACUGCAUAGAGCUAGGUGAAAAAGCCAAAGAAGAAGACCGCAA
RNAcentral lists this transfer RNA (362 nucleotides) under uncultured Microcystis sp. RNAcentral's name for it is "partial 16S-23S ribosomal RNA intergenic spacer". The stretch from base 135 to 208 matches the Rfam family "tRNA". Lineage: Bacteria; Bacillati; Cyanobacteriota; Cyanophyceae; Chroococcales; Microcystaceae. The record is from RNAcentral.